This 721-nucleotide long non-coding RNA is filed under the name Homo sapiens (human). RNAcentral's name for it is "PREDICTED lncRNA (TCONS_00056607)". Lineage: Eukaryota; Metazoa; Chordata; Mammalia; Primates; Hominidae. The record is from RNAcentral.
CCGGCUGCUUUGUUUACCUAAUCAAGCCUGGGCAAUGGCGGGCGCCCCUCCCCCAGCCUGUCUUCCGCCUUGCAGUUUGAUCUCAGACUGCUGUGCUAGCAAUCAGCGAGACUCCGUGGGCGUAGGACCCUCCGAGCCAGGGAAAUGGAAUUGAAGACAACUACUUCUAGAAUUGGUGCAUGGAAGCUUCUCAUAGGUGAUUAGCCACACUCUUCUUCUGUCAACCUGGUGCAGAAAAGCUUGAAGACCUUGGAAAUCACAUAUUGAUGAUGGAGGAGAUACAAGAAUGAAGGACCCUGGGUUCCUGAAUCAACACUCUAAGAAGAGACUCCUUGAAAUCAAGAGCACUCAUUUUGACAUUGCAAACGGAAAAAUUCACUUCUAUCAGGUUUGAACCAAUAUAUAGUUUAGGGUUUUUAAAAAAUAACUGUUAGCAUGACUUUAACUAAUACACAUGCCAUACAGGAUCAGACCUCUGUGACUUUGCUUUUACAGUCUGCUCUGUCUGGAGGGGAGUUUCAUCUUUGCCAUCCUUAAUGAUAUAGCAUAGACGCUAUGUCCUCCAGAAACUUCCUUGGCACCCACAUUUUUGGAUGGAAGCUUCUUGUCAUUUCCAUGGAAAGUAAGCUUAAUCUUGUCAAUGUGGUUCAACAUCAAAUUUGAAUUAUGUUCACCUAUCUUGUUUCCAACCUUCCCAACUAAAAUUUAAAUUUCAUAAAGG